RNAcentral lists this ribosomal RNA (449 nucleotides) under uncultured bacterium. Its description in RNAcentral is "bacterial SSU rRNA". It matches the Rfam family "Bacterial small subunit ribosomal RNA", at positions 354 to 796 of the family's 1533-position model. The record is from RNAcentral.
GUGGGGAAUUGUUCGCAAUGGGCGCAAGCCUGACGACGCAAUGCCGCGUGGAGGACGAAGGUCUUCGGAUUGUAAACUCCUGUUGCUCGGGAAGAAAAGCUCCGACCUAAUACGUUGGAGUCUGACGGUACCGGGUGAGGAAGCCCCGGCUAACUCUGUGCCAGCAGCCGCGGUAAUACAGAGGGGGCAAGCGUUGUUCGGAAUUACUGGGCGUAAAGGGCGCGUAGGCGGCCUGUUAAGUCGAACGUGAAAUCCCCAGGCUUAACCUGGGAACUGCGUCCGAUACUGGCAGGCUUGAAUCCGGGAGAGGGAUGCGGAAUUCCAGGUGUAGCGGUGAAAUGCGUAGAUAUCUGGAGGAACACCGGUGGCGAAGGCGGCAUCCUGGACCGGUAUUGACGCUGAGGCGCGAAAGCCAGGGGAGCAAACGGGAUUAGAUACCCCAGUAGUCC